This 358-nucleotide unclassified non-coding RNA is filed under the name soil metagenome. Its description in RNAcentral is "partial contains 5.8S ribosomal RNA, internal transcribed spacer 2, and large subunit ribosomal RNA". The stretch from base 1 to 120 matches the Rfam family "5.8S ribosomal RNA", at positions 35 to 154 of the family's 154-position model. The record is from RNAcentral.
GAUGAAGAACGCAGUGAAAUGCGAUAAGUAAUGUGAAUUGCAGAAUUCAGUGAAUCAUCGAAUCUUUGAACGCACAUUGCGCCCGUCAGUAUUCUGGCGGGCAUGCCUGUUCGAGCGUCAUUACGCCCCUCAAGUCCCCUGUGGACUUGGUGUUGGGGAUCGGCGAGGCUGGUUUUCCAGCACAGCCGUCCCUUAAAUUAAUUGGCGGUCUCGCCGUGGCCCUCCUCUGCGGAGUAGUAAAACACUCGCAACAGGAGCCCGGCGCGGUCCACUGCCGUAAAACCCCCCAACUUUUUAUAGUUGACCUCGAAUCAGGUAGGACUACCCGCUGAACUUAAGCAUAUCAAUAAGCGGAGGA